UGGGGAAUUUUGGACAAUGGGCGAAAGCCUGAUCCAGCCAUGCCGCGUGCAGGAUGAAGGCCUUCGGGUUGUAAACUGCUUUUGUACGGAACGAAAAGCCUCUUUCUAAUAAAGAGAGGUCAUGACGGUACCGUAAGAAUAAGCACCGGCUAACUACGUGCCAGCAGCCGCGGUAAUACGUAGGGUGCAAGCGUUAAUCGGAAUUACUGGGCGUAAAGCGUGCGCAGGCGGUUUUGUAAGACAGAGGUGAAAUCCCCGGGCUCAACCUGGGAACUGCCUUUGUGACUGCAAGGCUGGAGUGCGGCAGAGGGGGAUGGAAUUCCGCGUGUAGCAGUGAAAUGCGUAGAUAUGCGGAGGAACACCGAUGGCGAAGGCAAUCCCCUGGGCCUGCACUGACGCUCAUGCACGAAAGCGUGGGGAGCAAACAGGAUUAGAUACCCUGGUAGUCCACGCCCUAAACGAUGUCAACUGGUUGUUGGGUCUUCACUGACUCAGUAACGAAGCUAACGCGUGAAGUUGACCGCCUGGGGAGUACGGCCGCAAGGUUGAAACUCAAAUGAAUUGACGGGGUCAUAGCUGUUUCC
This 584-nucleotide ribosomal RNA is filed under the name uncultured bacterium. RNAcentral's name for it is "partial 16S ribosomal RNA". It matches the Rfam family "Bacterial small subunit ribosomal RNA", at positions 355 to 937 of the family's 1533-position model. The record is from RNAcentral.